CAGCCGCCGCGGUAAUACGUAGGGUGCAAGCGUUAAUCGGAAUUACUGGGCGUAAAGCGUGCGCAGGCGGUUAUAUAAGACAGAUGUGAAAUCCCCGGGCUCAACCUGGGAACUGCAUUUGUGACUGUAUAGCUAGAGUACGGCAGAGGGGGAUGGAAUUCCGCGUGUAGCAGUGAAAUGCGUAGAUAUGCGGAGGAACACCGAUGGCGAAGGCAAUCCCCUGGGCCUGUACUGACGCUCAUGCACGAAAGCGUGGGGAGCAAACAGGAUUAGAGACCCGCGUAGUCCCUGUCUCUUAUAC
This 301-nucleotide ribosomal RNA is filed under the name uncultured bacterium. RNAcentral's name for it is "partial 16S ribosomal RNA". It matches the Rfam family "Bacterial small subunit ribosomal RNA", at positions 509 to 807 of the family's 1533-position model. The record is from RNAcentral.